This 191-nucleotide unclassified non-coding RNA is filed under the name fungal sp. RNAcentral's name for it is "partial internal transcribed spacer region". The stretch from base 1 to 46 matches the Rfam family "Eukaryotic small subunit ribosomal RNA", at positions 1786 to 1831 of the family's 1831-position model. Lineage: Eukaryota; Fungi. The record is from RNAcentral.
AAGUCGUAACAAGGUUUCCGUAGGUGAACCUGCGGAAGUAUCAUUAAUGAUUUUAUUUUUCUAUGUUGGGAAAUUGUCUGCUGUUGUGGGGAUAUUUUUUAUCCCCGCGCUAGUCAACGUGAUCUUUAUUCUAGUCUGACUUUUAUAUAAAUAAUAAAAGACAACUUUUAGCAACGGAUCUCUUGGCUCUC